AUUGAACGCUGGCGGCAGGCCUAACACAUGCAAGUCGAACGGCAGCACAGGAAGAGCUUGGCUCUUUGGGUGGCGAGUGGCGGACGGGUGAGUAACACGUAGGAAUCUACCCGAGUAGUGGGGAUAACCUGGGGAAACCCAGGCUAAUACCGCAUACGCCCUGAGGGGGAAAGCGGGGGAUCUUCGGACCUCGCGCUAUUGGAUGAGCCUGCGUCGGAUUAGCUAGUUGGUGGGUAAGGGCUCACCAAGGCGACGAUCCGUAGCUGGUCUGAGAGGAUGACCAGUCACACCGGAACUGAGACACGGUCCGGACUCCUACGGGAGGCAGCAGUGGGGAAUAUUGGACAAUGGGCGCAAGCCUGAUCCAGCCAUGCCGCGUGGGUGAAGAAGGCC
RNAcentral lists this ribosomal RNA (393 nucleotides) under uncultured bacterium. RNAcentral describes it as "bacterial SSU rRNA". It matches the Rfam family "Bacterial small subunit ribosomal RNA", at positions 29 to 416 of the family's 1533-position model. The record is from RNAcentral.